GCCGGGUGCGGUGGCGCGCGCCUGUAAUCCAAGCUACCGGGAGGCUGAGGCUGGAGGAUCGUUUGAGCUCAGGAGCUCUGAGCUGCAGCGGACUAUGGCGAUCGGGUGUCCGCACUAAGCUCGGUAUCGAUAUGGUGCUCCUGGGGGAGCCCGGGACCACCAGGUCGUCUAAGGAGGGGUGCACCGGCCCAGGUCGGACACGGAGCAGGUCAAAGCCCCCGUGCCGCUCAGUAGUGGGAUCGCGCCUGUGAAUAGACGCUGUAGUGCAGCCUGAGUAAAACAGCGGGACCCAGUCUUUU
Molecule: unclassified non-coding RNA, 299 nt
Rfam family: Metazoan signal recognition particle RNA
About the family: The signal recognition particle (SRP) is a universally conserved ribonucleoprotein. It is involved in the co-translational targeting of proteins to membranes. The eukaryotic SRP consists of a 300-nucleotide 7S RNA and six proteins: SRPs 72, 68, 54, 19, 14, and 9.
Source: Ensembl